AGGGGCGGCGUGCCUAUACAUGCAAGUCGUACGCUUCUUUUUCCACCGGAGCUUGCUCCACCGGAAAAAGAAGAGUGGCGAACGGGUGAGUAACACGUGGGUAACCUGCCCAUCAGAAGGGGAUAACACUUGGAAACAGGUGCUAAUACCGUAUAACAAUCGAAACCGCAUGGUUUUGAUUUGAAAGGCGCUUUCGGGUGUCGCUGAUGGAUGGACCCGCGGUGCAUUAGCUAGUUGGUGAGGUAACGGCUCACCAAGGCCACGAUGCAUAGCCGACCUGAGAGGGUGAUCGGCCACAUUGGGACUGAGACACGGCCCAAACUCCUACGGGAGGCAGCAGUAGGGAAUCUUCGGCAAUGGACGAAAGUCUGACCGAGCAACGCCGCGUGAGUGAAGAAGGUUUUCGGAUCGUAAAACUCUGUUGUUAGAGAAGAACAAGGAUGAGAGUAACUGUUCAUCCCUUGACGGUAUCUAACCAGAAAGCCACGGCUAACUACGUGCCAGCAGCCGCGGUAAUACGUAGGUGGCAAGCGUUGUCCGGAUUUAUUGGGCGUAAAGCGAGCGCAGGCGGUUUCUUAAGUCUGAUGUGAAAGCCCCCGGCUCAACCGGGGAGGGUCAUUGGAAACUGGGAGACUUGAGUGCAGAAGAGGAGAGUGGAAUUCCAUGUGUAGCGGUGAAAUGCGUAGAUAUAUGGAGGAACACCAGUGGCGAAGGCGGCUCUCUGGUCUGUAACUGACGCUGAGGCUCGAAAGCGUGGGGAGCAAACAGGAUUAGAUACCCUGGUAGUCCACGCCGUAAACGAUGAGUGCUAAGUGUUGGAGGGUUUCCGCCCUUCAGUGCUGCAGCUAACGCAUUAAGCACUCCGCCUGGGGAGUACGACCGCAAGGUUGAAACUCAAAGGAAUUGACGGGGGCCCGCACAAGCGGUGGAGCAUGUGGUUUAAUUCGAAGCAACGCGAAGAACCUUACCAGGUCUUGACAUCCUUUGACCACUCUAGAGAUAGAGCUUCCCCUUCGGGGGCAAAGUGACAGGUGGUGCAUGGUUGUCGUCAGCUCGUGUCGUGAGAUGUUGGGUUAAGUCCCGCAACGAGCGCAACCCUUAUUGUUAGUUGCCAUCAUUCAGUUGGGCACUCUAGCAAGACUGCCGGUGACAAACCGGAGGAAGGUGGGGAUGACGUCAAAUCAUCAUGCCCCUUAUGACCUGGGCUACACACGUGCUACAAUGGGAAGUACAACGAGUCGCGAAGUCGCGAGGCUAAGCUAAUCUCUUAAAGCUUCUCUCAGUUCGGAUUGUAGGCUGCAACUCGCCUACAUGAAGCCGGAAUCGCUAGUAAUCGCGGAUCAGCACGCCGCGGUGAAUACGUUCCCGGGCCUUGUACACACCGCCCGUCACACCACGAGAGUUUGUAACACCCGAAGUCGGUGAGGUAACCUUUUGGAGCCAGCCGCCUAAGGUGGCAUAGAAGAAGG
Molecule: ribosomal RNA, 1469 nt
Filed under: Enterococcus durans
Lineage: Bacteria; Bacillati; Bacillota; Bacilli; Lactobacillales; Enterococcaceae
Description: bacterial SSU rRNA
Rfam family: Bacterial small subunit ribosomal RNA
Source: RNAcentral